This is a long non-coding RNA of Trifolium pratense (red clover), 2305 nucleotides long. RefSeq lists it as uncharacterized. The transcript is spliced from 3 exons. The record is from RefSeq and is a predicted model, not a curated record. NCBI's taxonomy places the organism in Eukaryota, Viridiplantae, Streptophyta, Magnoliopsida, Fabales, Fabaceae.
CUUCUAUAUUCGCCGACACUUUUUGGCUGUUAAGUAGCAGCUUUUCUCUAGCUAAACUGUUCUGCUAAUCUGCUAGGUUCUUUGUAAUAUUGUGCCAGCUAAAAUUCAGAUAUCUUGAUGAGAAAUGUCAAUUGGCUACAGUUUCUAAUGUAGCUAAUAACAUGAAAAAAUGUUAAAAAAAGGUGAAUUGGUUACUUUUUUUAAAUGCAGCUAAUAGCAUGAAAAAGUGUUACUAUAAGAUUUUAACGACAUAGGGUAUAUACUGCAUUUGGAAAAGUGUCACUAAAAGCAACAACGACAUUUGAAUGUGAUUUAGUUACACUUGUUAAAUAUAACUAAAUCUCUUAUGUGUAGUAGUUUGCACAUGUGUAUUUGACUUGUUUGGUUUCUUUAUAAUUAUGGCUACCGCUUGUGCUUUGAAAUCUAACUCUUCUGGUACUAUUGGAGAAUGGACCAUUCCAAUUUCUAGGGAAAUUGGAUCCUCCAAAAGUAGGAUGUGAUUCUUACUCUUUUCAGUGAUGAUUCCAAGAAACUAGUAGUUUGAGCCCUUUUUUUUUGUGUGUGUGUGGGUGUGGGGGUGGUUCUUGGGGGCAGUAUCGUUCUGCAUAAUUAUUAAUGCAGCAUAGUAAUAUAUAACCCCUGAGAGCACAAAUGCUACUGUGGGUGCAAACAUAGAGGACCCCUUUAUUUAGUACCUCUGAUCUCUGAUCUUUGACAUUCAGAUCUAUGCAUAUGUGGUUUUUAGGGAGUAAGGACUGGGUUUUGUUUUUUUAGGAUUUGCCUUUUUCUGUUUUGUUGGAUUUGGGCAGCCACAGGAAGGCUGUCAUGUUUGAGAGGGUAAUUGUUGAUGGAGCUUCCAGUUCCGGAAUUGCCAUUGCAUCCUAAGAAUAGAUAAAACAUUCAGUGGAAUGUAGGGCUCCUUCAAAUGCUUCCCAUAAUUCUGUUACUCACAACUUGUGUUGAUCCGGUCAGCUCCAUUUCAAGGGUUUUUAUUUGAAUUUUGAUCAUCAAUGCAAAUUUGACUGCCAUGCAUCCACCUCGUAGCUAUAGCUAUUAUCCAUUUUGACACUUAUCUCAUCUUAUCUGUCAAGUGCUCGAAUUUUGUUUAUUUCAUCUGAGUUGUGAAGAAUAGGGUGGAGAAAUAUGUUGUUCUAGUAAAAAAGAGUGAACACUUCUUUCUUUGGGAAUUAUUAAAAUGAAUUUCAUCAUUUUUUAUGUAGUCACACCAUGCCUUCAGAAUAUCUGGGUCAUACCUAAUUGACUGUCUAAGUUUGAGGUUUUCCUUUUAAGUUUUGAUCUGUCUGUACAUAAACCUCACUGUUUGAUGCAUAUAACCUCUGGCUACAUUUACGUUUGACUCAUUAAAAGGAAAACCUUACUGUACCUGAUACUUCCUUAACUAGAAUUAAUCUUUUACAUGGGAAAGAUCAAUAAUAUAAUCACUAAUGUUAUCUUCACACACACUUUUAAUUUUAAUUCUCUCUUUUUAACUCUUUCACCUGAUAUACGAAGUCUCUCUUCCAAAGAGUGCAGUGGCUCAUUUCACUUCUUGUUGUGUUAAUUCUUGCUCAGAUUCUAUAUGCGGUUCUAGUGUAGCAUCUCCAUUGUCAUGUUUAUUUUUCAUGAGAGUGGAUCUUAUAAUCCCAUCUAUAUCUCUUGGUUUCAUGUAUUCCAAUGAAUUUGGCCAUCUUCAUAGUGUUAAUGGUUCUUUCUUGUGAUUUCUUCUGGCAUUUAUGCAUACAGUUGCUUUUUAAGUCACAAUAGUUUCCUCAUGUGUCCAAGAAGAGCUAAAUUUGAUUCACUGAAUAACAUUGGCAAACCAGGACUUUUAUGGUACUUGCCAGGACAGGGUUGAUAUGCAUUUUUGAAAUUAAAAAGUGUGAUCCAAAUUCCAUGAAGUUGCUUUUGGCUUAGCUAAAGAUUUGCUUUUUUAACUUCUCCAAUCAUUUAAAAGUGUUUUAGGUAAGGUUAAGGACUUCCUAGAAGUGAUGUCGGACGCAAAUAAACGACUAGAACUUGAUGAGAAGUUCAAAAUUUCUUCUGUAUAUAUUUGGAAUAUUCAUCUUUGUUUUGUCCAACAGCAUUUUUGGGGCUGCUGGUGAGGUUUACUCUGCUUCAGCCUUCAACUUGAUAAAAACUUGAGAUCACACUCCCAGAGCAAAGAGAUUACUGAUGCUGAUAUCUUAAACUGGGAAAACAAUAAAGUGAAGAAAGCCUGAAGAACUUCUGAAAUGGAUAGUUUCAAGGUUACCUAAUAAUUAUACAGGCAUUGUUUUUGCAACCAAGUGUUGGUUAGUGAAUCGAG